Molecule: ribosomal RNA, 253 nt
Filed under: uncultured bacterium
Lineage: Bacteria
Description: partial 16S ribosomal RNA
Rfam family: Bacterial small subunit ribosomal RNA
Source: RNAcentral
UACGUAGGGUGCGAGCGUUGUCCGGAAUUAUUGGGCGUAAAGAGCUCGUAGGCGGUCUGUCGCGUCUGCUGUGAAAACUCGGGGCUUAACCCCGGGCCUGCAGUGGGUACGGGCAGACUAGAGUGCGGUAGGGGAGAUUGGAAUUCCUGGUGUAGCGGUGGAAUGCGCAGAUAUCAGGAGGAACACCGAUGGCGAAGGCAGAUCUCUGGGCCGUAACUGACGCUGAGGAGCGAAAGCAUGGGGAGCGAACAGG